Molecule: ribosomal RNA, 407 nt
Filed under: Verrucomicrobiota bacterium
Lineage: Bacteria; Pseudomonadati; Verrucomicrobiota
Description: Verrucomicrobia bacterium partial 16S ribosomal RNA
Rfam family: Bacterial small subunit ribosomal RNA
Source: RNAcentral
UGGGGAAUAUUGGACAAUGGAGGGAACUCUGAUCCAGCAAUUCUGUGUGUGUGAAGAAGGUUUUAGGACUGUAAAACACUUUUAGUAGGGAAGAAAAAAAUGACGGUACCUACAGAAGAAGCAACGGCUAAAUACGUGCCAGCAGCCGCGGUAAUACGUAUGUUGCGAGCGUUAUCCGGAAUUAUUGGGCUUAAAGGGCAUCUAGGCGGUAAGACAAGUUGAAGGUGAAAACCUGUGGCUCAACCAUAGGCUUGCCUACAAAACUGUUGAACUAGAGUACUGGAAAGGUGGGUGGAACUACACGAGUAGAGGUGAAAUUCGUAGAUAUGUGUAGGAAUGCCGAUGAUGAAGAUAACUCACUGGACAGAAACUGACGCUGAAGUGCAAAAGCUAGGGGAGCAAACAGG